UACCAGCACCCCGAGUGGUCGGGACGUUUAUUGGGCCUAAAGCAUCCGUAGCCGGUUCUACAAGUCUUCCGUUAAAUCCACCUGCUUAACAGAUGGGCUGCGGAAGAUACUAUGGAGCUAGGAGGCGGGAGAGGCAAGCGGUACUCGAAUGGGUAGGGGUAAAAUCCGUUGAUCCAUUGAAGACCACCAGUGGCGAAGGCGGCUUGCCAGAACGCGCUCGACGGUGAGGGAUGAAAGCUGGGGGGAGCAAACCGG
This 255-nucleotide ribosomal RNA is filed under the name uncultured bacterium. RNAcentral's name for it is "partial 16S ribosomal RNA". It matches the Rfam family "Archaeal small subunit ribosomal RNA", at positions 474 to 727 of the family's 1478-position model. The record is from RNAcentral.